ACCGUUGUCAUUGGGGAGUAGCCAUCCUUGCCCCAAGGAGUUUGCGUCAACACACUUGGCGGUCCGCGGACCCCAUGGCGCAAACGGCCUUCGCCACGGCCGCGCUUGCCGCGCGCCGGGCGAAUCCGCCAGGCGAGACCUUUGGCCACGACGCGCU
Molecule: non-coding RNA, 157 nt
Organism: Bordetella bronchialis
Lineage: Bacteria; Pseudomonadati; Pseudomonadota; Betaproteobacteria; Burkholderiales; Alcaligenaceae
Source: Rfam